GAGUAGAAUGUCAAGACAAGGGCAGCUCAUCUGUUGAAGUAUCCUAAUGCGAAGAUGCUAUGGAUCGGUGACCCUACAUAGCUCAGCACUGCGACAUGGCAGAGGAAAACUUUGUUUAUUUACUAUGAGCAUCAAGACAUAAAGAUUGUGCAUCUACAUGACGAGCUGUAUCAGGGGUGCUGCAAGGAAAUAUUUUGAGGGGAAUGUUACUACGAACGUAGCAUGUACACUAAAGUCCUUAUCAAUGCAUACAAUUGCUAUAUUGAUAUGAUGUGCACUCUAUUAGGAGUGGAUUCAUUUUGAUCCCAAAAUGGCCAAAAUGGACGCUAAGAUUGCUGAGAUGAAUCCGAUGAAUGAGGAUGAGGUUGAUUGGGCUACGGUUUUAUCGAAGUUGGUAUGACAGGAUGUGCUGACAGACUUCUAUGAAACGAUGCAAUUCUUCUAUGUGCCUCAAUGAUGAUUUGUAUAGUUAUAUUUGUUGUCUUUUGUUAUAAGUUUUUUCAAUGGAAGCAUGAUCCACACAUGUGGGCAGUUUAACUUAACAUUUUCAAACCUUUUAAUGAACACUGUAUAUUGGAGUAUUUUCAAAAACAAAAUGCAUUACCAUAA
Oryza sativa Japonica Group (Japanese rice) is the source of this 609-nucleotide long non-coding RNA. RefSeq lists it as uncharacterized. Lineage: Eukaryota; Viridiplantae; Streptophyta; Magnoliopsida; Poales; Poaceae. The record is from RefSeq and is a predicted model, not a curated record.